UACGUAGGGUGCAAGCGUUAAUCGGAAUUACUGAGCGUAAAGCGUGCGCAGGCGGUUAUGCAAGACAGAUGUGAAAUCCCCGGGCUCAACCUGGGAACUGCAUUUGUGACUGCAUGGCUAGAGUACGGUAGAGGGGGAUGGAAUUCCGCGUGUAGCAGUGAAAUGCGUAGAUAUGCGGAGGAACACCGAUGGCGAAGGCAAUCCCCUGGACCUGUACUGACGCUCAUGCACGAAAGCGUGGGGAGCAAACAGG
RNAcentral lists this ribosomal RNA (253 nucleotides) under uncultured bacterium. RNAcentral's name for it is "partial 16S ribosomal RNA". It matches the Rfam family "Bacterial small subunit ribosomal RNA", at positions 524 to 776 of the family's 1533-position model. The record is from RNAcentral.